CCUACGGGGCGCAGCAGUGGGGAAUAUUGCGCAAUGGGCGAAAGCCUGACGCAGCGACGCCGCGUGAGGGAUGAAGGUCUUCGGAUCGUAAACCUCUGUCAGCAGGGAAGAACGGUCACUGUGCUAAUCAGCAGUGAAUUGACGGUACCUGCAAAGGAAGCACCGGCUAACUCCGUGCCAGCAGCCGCGGUAAUACGGAGGGUGCGAGCGUUAAUCGGAAUUACUGGGCGUAAAGCGCUCGUAGGCGGUAUGUCAAGUCAAGGGGGAAAUCCCCGCGCUCAACGUGGGAACUGCCUUUGAAACUGGCAAACUGGAGUGUGUGAGAGGAUAGUGGAAUUCCAGGUGUAGGAGUGAAAUCCGUAGAUAUCUGGAGGAACAUCAGUGGCGAAGGCGACUAUCUGGCACAUAACUGACGCUGAGGAGCGAAAGCGUGGGUAGCAAACAGGAUUAGAUACCCGGGUAGUC
This 465-nucleotide ribosomal RNA is filed under the name uncultured bacterium. RNAcentral's name for it is "partial 16S ribosomal RNA". It matches the Rfam family "Bacterial small subunit ribosomal RNA", at positions 338 to 795 of the family's 1533-position model. The record is from RNAcentral.